Molecule: transfer RNA, 100 nt
Filed under: Thermoplasmatales archaeon I-plasma
Lineage: Archaea; Methanobacteriati; Thermoplasmatota; Thermoplasmata; Thermoplasmatales
Rfam family: tRNA
About the family: Transfer RNA (tRNA) molecules are approximately 80 nucleotides in length. Their secondary structure includes four short double-helical elements and three loops (D, anti-codon, and T loops). Further hydrogen bonds mediate the characteristic L-shaped molecular structure. tRNAs have two regions of fundamental functional importance: the anti-codon, which is responsible for specific mRNA codon recognition, and the 3' end, to which the tRNAs corresponding amino acid is attached (by aminoacyl-tRNA synthetases). tRNAs cope with the degeneracy of the genetic code in two manners: having more than one tRNA (with a specific anti-codon) for a particular amino acid; and 'wobble' base-pairing, i.e. permitting non-standard base-pairing at the 3rd anti-codon position.
Source: Rfam by way of RNAcentral
GCCGGGGUAGCUUAGCUGGUGGAGCGCCGGACUCAUAGGGAAUAACGCUUAAUCGUCCGGAGAAAUCCGGAGGCCCUGGGUUCAAAUCCCAGCCCCGGCA